This is a long non-coding RNA of Poecilia latipinna (sailfin molly), 650 nucleotides long. RefSeq lists it as uncharacterized. The transcript has 2 exons. Lineage: Eukaryota; Metazoa; Chordata; Actinopteri; Cyprinodontiformes; Poeciliidae. The record is from RefSeq and is a predicted model, not a curated record.
UUAAAGAUCUAAUUUAAAAAUCCUCCUUUGUUUUACUUUUUCGACACUAACCGGGCGAGAGCAGGGUUGUUCUCGCGAGGGUUUAACGUCAUGUGACAGCUGCACGUCAGUCCUAAAUUGACAGCCACUGCUUAUAUUGCUGCUAAAUCGCACCUUGGGUAGCAGACGCUGUGGGACUUUGACGUGCAGGUAGGCUUGGGUGUUGUUCCCAAAGCGGUUUUGCUUUUGAAUGUCGAUUAUACAUCAAUCGUAUACCUCUAUUAAAUUACAGACAUAUGGUCGCUCAUCUGAACGCUGAAACGAUCUCUGUUUGUCAAAAGAGGAACUGGCCAGGUGUGUUCCAGAUCCCACCCCCGCUCGGAGUAACUGAAGGAUCUGGGACACAUUAAGAAUUGUCUGGUUUUUGUAUACUGACCGGACUGGCGAGCUAACCAUAGCGGAUUCAGAAAGUCACCCAUAAUCUGAGGAAACAUCUCCAAACCGGAAGGAAAAUUCAACCAACCACUUCACAGCUGGAACUAAAUGACUAUUUUUGUUUUUUCCCUUUCGUCACCGACAGAGACUUCCUUGGUUUAAGGAACUGGACUUUAAAGCUGUGAAACAAUUUGUAUAUAUUGUAAAUAUAAAUACACUUCAUUGAUUUUGCACUC